Long non-coding RNA from Xiphophorus hellerii (green swordtail), 515 nucleotides. RefSeq lists it as uncharacterized. Lineage: Eukaryota; Metazoa; Chordata; Actinopteri; Cyprinodontiformes; Poeciliidae. The transcript is spliced from 3 exons. The record is from RefSeq and is a predicted model, not a curated record.
GUACAGUGAAGACCAGGGCGCAGGAAAAGGGGGCCUGACAGAUUAUCGAUGAUAGCGGCACAUUAUUAUCGACUCCAAGAACUCACUGGGGGGAAUGAGUCUUAUCUUUGAAAAGCUAAGAACAGAGAGAAGGGAGACAGAGCGAGAGAGGGAGAAGAUAAUGAGAAAAGCAGAGUGAGAGAGAGAGAGUUGAAGUUUAUACCGAGGGAGAGGGGCUGAGGGAGAUACGAGAUGUAAGAAGUCUUGGCAGACGGCUUAUCAUAUACGAGGAAGAGGAAGGAGGAUGAGAGCGGAGAUUUAAAAGGGAGUUGAACAAUUGUGCAGUGCGCCAAGAAAGUUGAUAUUUCUCAACAUUGGAUCACCUGUCUUCUUUUUUCAGCGUGAUGCUGGCUUAUGUCUAAAACCAACAUGGUGGAAAAAGAAUGCUGAACAUUAAUUUCCUCAUUAAAUAGUAUCUUUUGAAAAUAAAUAUGAUUUUUAGUUGAUUAAACGUGUGGAGAGCUUAUUCUGUGGCA